UACGGAGGGUGCAAGCGUUAUCCGGAUUUAUUGGGUUUAAAGGGUCCGUANGCGGAUCUGUAAGUCAGUGGUGAAAUCUCACAGCUCAACUGUGAAACUGCCAUUGAUACUGCAGGUCUUGAGUAAGGUAGAAGUGGCUGGAAUAAGUAGUGUAGCGGUGAAAUGCAUAGAUAUUACUUAGAACACCAAUUGCGAAGGCAGGUCACUAUGUCUUAACUGACGCUGAUGGACGAAAGCGUGGGGAGCGAACAGGAUUAGAUACCCUGGUAGUCCACGCCGUAAACGAUGCUAACUCGUUUUUGGGGCUUUAUGCUUCAGAGACUAAGCGAAAGUGAUAAGUUAGCCACCUGGGGAGUACGUUCGCAAGAAUGAAACUCAAAGGAAUUGACGGGGGCCCGCACAAGCGGUGGAUUAUGUGGUUUAAUUCGAUGAUACGCGAGGAACCUUACCAAGGCUUAAAUGGGAAUUGAUCGGUUUAGAAAUAGACCUUCCUUCGGGCAAUUUUCAAGGUGCUGCAUGGUUGUCGUCAGCUCGUGCCGUGAGGUGUUAGGUUAAGUCCUGCAACGAGCGCAACCCCUGUCACUAGUAGCCAGCAUUUGAGGUGGGCACUCUAGGGAGACUGCCAGGGAUAACCUGGAGGAAGGCGGGGAUGACGUCAAAUCAUCAUGCCCCUUAUGACUUGGGCUACACACGUGCUACAAUGGCGUAAACAAAGGGAAGCAAAUCCGUGAGGCCGAGCAAAUCCCAAAAAUAACGUCUCAGUUCGGACUGUAGUCUGCAACUCGACUACACGAAGCUGGAAUCGCUAGUAAUCGCGAAUCAGAAUGUCGCGGUGAUACGUUCCCGGUCUUGCACACACCGCCC
RNAcentral lists this ribosomal RNA (864 nucleotides) under uncultured Bacteroidota bacterium. RNAcentral describes it as "bacterial SSU rRNA". It matches the Rfam family "Bacterial small subunit ribosomal RNA", at positions 524 to 1395 of the family's 1533-position model. The record is from RNAcentral. Lineage: Bacteria; Pseudomonadati; Bacteroidota.